This is a ribosomal RNA of 851 nucleotides. It matches the Rfam family "Eukaryotic large subunit ribosomal RNA", at positions 80 to 949 of the family's 3401-position model.
UCAGUAACGGCGAGUGAAGCGGCAACAGCUCAAAUUUGAAAUCUGGCCCUCUCAGGGCCCGAGUUGUAAUUUGGAGAAGAUGCUUCGGGUGCGGCCCCGGUCUAAGUUCCUUGGAACAGGACGUCACAGAGGGUGAGAAUCCCGUACGUGCCCGGUGGCCGCCCCCGUGUGAAGCUCUUUCGACGAGUCGAGUUGUUUGGGAAUGCAGCUCAAAAUGGGUGGUAAAUUUCAUCUAAAGCUAAAUAUUGGCCAGAGACCGAUAGCGCACAAGUAGAGUGAUCGAAAGAUGAAAAGCACUUUGGAAAGAGAGUUAAACAGUACGUGAAAUUGUUGAAAGGGAAGCGCUUGCAACCAGACUUGCGCGCGGCCGAUCAUCCGGUGCUCGCACCGGUGCACUCGACCGCGCGCAGGCCAGCAUCGGUUUGGGUGGCUGGAGAAAGGCCGCGGGAAUGUGGCUCCCCCCGGGGAGUGUUAUAGCCCGCGGCGCAAUGCAGCCCACCCGGACCGAGGACCGCGCUCCGGCUAGGAUGCUGGCGUAAUGGUUGUAAGCGGCCCGUCUUGAAACACGGACCAAGGAGUCUAACAUCUAUGCGAGUGUUUGGGUGUCAAACCCAUACGCGGAAUGAAAGUGAACGGAGGUGAGAACCCUGAAGGGUGCAUCAUCGACCGAUCCUGAUGUCUUCGGAUGGAUUUGAGUAAGAGCAUAGCUGUUGGGACCCGAAAGAUGGUGAACUAUGCCUGAAUAGGGUGAAGCCAGAGGAAACUCUGGUGGAGGCUCGCAGCGGUUCUGACGUGCAAAUCGAUCGUCAAAUUUGGGCAUAGGGGCGAAAGACUAAUCGAACCAUCUAGUA